Molecule: ribosomal RNA, 302 nt
Filed under: Ice core clone 145-20
Lineage: Eukaryota
Description: SSU rRNA
Rfam family: Eukaryotic small subunit ribosomal RNA
Source: RNAcentral
AUAUUUAAGUUGUUGCAGUUAAAAAGCUCGUAGUUGGAUCUUGGGUCGUAAGGGUCGGUCCGCCUACUCGGUGUGCACCUUCCCUUCCGUCCCUUUUGUCGGCGGCGUGCUCCUGGCCUUAAUUGGCUGGGUCGCGGUUCCGGCGCUGUUACUUUGAAAAAAUUAGAGUGCUCAAAGCAAGCUUAUGCUCUGAAUACAUUAGCAUGGAAUAACGUGAUAGGAGUCUGGUCCUAUUGUGUUGGCCUUCGGGACCGGAGUAAUGAUUAAUAGGGACUGUCGGGGGCAUUCGUAUUUCAUUGUCA